AUACGGAGGGUGCAAGCGUUACUCGGAAUCACUGGGCGUAAAGCGCGCGCAGGCGGCCAUUUAAGUUGGAUGUGAAAGCCUACGGCUCAACCGUAGAACUGCAUCCAAAACUAUUUGGCUAGAGUGUGGGAGAGGAAGAUGGAAUUAGUUGCGUAGGGGUAAAAUCCGUAGAGAUAACUAGGAAUACCAAAAGCGAAGGCAAUCUUCUGGAACAUUACUGACGCUGAGGCGCGAAAGCGUGGGGAGCAAACAGGAUUAGAUACCCCAGUAGUCC
This 274-nucleotide ribosomal RNA is filed under the name uncultured bacterium. RNAcentral's name for it is "partial 16S ribosomal RNA". It matches the Rfam family "Bacterial small subunit ribosomal RNA", at positions 523 to 796 of the family's 1533-position model. The record is from RNAcentral.